GUGACGAGCCAUGUUUGGGAAAAGAAACAUUUCAUGUCAGCUUGAUGAAGACUACAGGAUAAGGAUCCGUAAGCACAAUGUGGAGGUUGACAAAAGCAGGCACAUCCUAUCUAAAAUAAUAGACUAUGUCAAGUUCUGUGGUGUGUCAGGCCCUUUAGCUCUGCUUAGUGGCAGUCUCUCCCUUCCCCCCUCCUUUCCCUCCUGUUUCCUUUUUUCCCCAGGUGAGCGUGAGUGAGGUGUCCUCCGCCAUAAAAGCCUAACUUCAGUCACAACUCGGAGCCGGACCGUUGUAUAACACAAUCUCAGACCAACUCUGCCUGCUCUGUCUGAAGCUUCGGCUGAUCCUGCACUUACUAUGGAAUUCCUUCAGCCACGCUGCACACCUCCUCAGCCUCCCUUCCCUCAAGACUUUUUUGGACUGUCAGCCAAGGUUCCCUGUUCUCUCUCUGGGUUAGCCUUGUAGUGUAGAGAGUUUUUAGUUGUUUUGCCCUGCCUCUUUUGUUUCCAUUUUCUAAUGCCAGUGCUUACUGUGAUCUUUUGUUGUAGAAUCAAAUCCUUAGAGAGUUUUAGUUGGUUUUGCCCCGCCUCUUAGUUACCAUUUUUCUGCCAGUGCUUCACUGUGAUCUUUUGUUGUUAUUAAAAUCUUUAUUGUGUA
Long non-coding RNA from Notolabrus celidotus (New Zealand spotty), 655 nucleotides. RefSeq lists it as uncharacterized. Lineage: Eukaryota; Metazoa; Chordata; Actinopteri; Labriformes; Labridae. The record is from RefSeq and is a predicted model, not a curated record. The transcript is spliced from 2 exons.